UGAGUGAAGAAGGGUUUCGGCUCGUAAAACUCUGUUGUUAAAGAAGAACAUAUCUGAGAGUAACUGUUCAGGUAUUGACGGUAUUUAACCAGAAAGCCACGGCUAACUACGUGCCAGCAGCCGCGGUAAUACGUAGGUGGCAAGCGUUGUCCGGAUUUAUUGGGCGUAAAGCGAGCGCAGGCGGUUUUUUAAGUCUGAUGUGAAAGCCUUCGGCUCAACCGAAGAAGUGCAUCGGAAACUGGGAAACUUGAGUGCAGAAGAGGACAGUGGAACUCCAUGUGUAGCGGUGAAAUGCGUAGAUAUAUGGAAGAACACCAGUGGCGAAGGCGGCUGUCUGGUCUGUAACUGACGCUGAGGCUCGAAAGUAUGGGUAGCAAACAGGAUUAGAUACCCUGGUAGUCCAUACCGUAAACGAUGAAUGCUAAGUGUUGGAGGGUUUCCGCCCUUCAGUGCUGCAGCUAACGCAUUAAGCAUUCCGCCUGGGGAGUACGGCCGCAAGGCUGAAACUCAAAGGAAUUGACGGGGGCCCGCACAAGCGGUGGAGCAUGUGGUUUAAUUCGAAGCUACGCGAAGAACCUUACCAGGUCUUGACAUACUAUGCAAAUCUAAGAGAUUAGACGUUCCCUUCGGGGACAUGGAUACAGGUGGUGCAUGGUUGUCGUCAGCUCGUGUCGUGAGAUGUUGGGUUAAGUCCCGCAACGAGCGCAACCCUUAUUAUCAGUUGCCAGCAUUAAGUUGGGCACUCUGGUGAGACUGCCGGUGACAAACCGGAGGAAGGUGGGGAUGACGUCAAAUCAUCAUGCCCCUUAUGACCUGGGCUACACACGUGCUACAAUGGAUGGUACAACGAGUUGCGAACUCGCGAGAGUAAGCUAAUCUCUUAAAGCCAUUCUCAGUUCGGAUUGUAGGCUGCAACUCGCCUACAUGAAGUCGGAAUCGCUAGUAAUCGCGGAUCAGCAUGCCGCGGUGAAUACGUUCCCGGGCCUUGUACACACCGCCCGUCACACCAUGAGAGUUUGUAACACCCAAAGUCGGUGGGGUAACCUUUUAGGAACCAGCCGCCUAAG
Molecule: ribosomal RNA, 1067 nt
Filed under: Lactiplantibacillus plantarum
Lineage: Bacteria; Bacillati; Bacillota; Bacilli; Lactobacillales; Lactobacillaceae
Description: bacterial SSU rRNA
Rfam family: Bacterial small subunit ribosomal RNA
Source: RNAcentral